GGCGUCGUGGCCGAGUGGCUGAGGCAGGGGCCUGCAAAGCCCUCCACGUGGGUUCGAUUCCCACCGACGCCU
This 72-nucleotide transfer RNA is filed under the name Acidobacteriota bacterium. Its description in RNAcentral is "Acidobacteria bacterium (mine drainage metagenome) tRNA-Cys". It matches the Rfam family "tRNA". Rfam says of the family: Transfer RNA (tRNA) molecules are approximately 80 nucleotides in length. Their secondary structure includes four short double-helical elements and three loops (D, anti-codon, and T loops). The record is from RNAcentral. Lineage: Bacteria; Pseudomonadati; Acidobacteriota.